AGGAGGAGGAGGAGGAGGAGGAACUGAGGCGGCGGCCGCAUCUCAUAUAGAUGCCGGUGAACGCAAGAAAGGUAAGAGGAAUCGUGUGUUGGGAUAAUGAGAGUAAAUAGAGGGGUCAAUACAGAUUAUAUUAAAUCGUACAACGAUAUCAGUCAUCGUUCGUACUGUUGGAACCGCCGGUCUUCAGCCACCGUUUCGGAAAAGGAAAGGGAGAAAUUUGUGAUGAUAAGGUAGGUGGAUUUUGACGUGGCACGUGUUGCAUCAUCUAUUAUUAACGUGCUAUCUGUGUUGACAAGUCCACUGCAUUAGCU
This 311-nucleotide unclassified non-coding RNA is filed under the name Hevea brasiliensis (rubber tree). Lineage: Eukaryota; Viridiplantae; Streptophyta; Magnoliopsida; Malpighiales; Euphorbiaceae. The record is from RNAcentral.